GAUGAACGCUGGCGGCGUCCCUAAUACAUGCAAGUCGAGCGAACGGACGAGAAGCUUGCUUCUCUUAUGUUAGUGGCGGACGGGUGAGUAACACGUGGAUAACCUACCUAUAAGACUGGGAUAACUUCGGGAAACCGGAGCUAAUACCGGAUAAUAUUUUGAACCGCAUGGUUCAAAAGUGAAAGACGGUCUUGCUGUCAUUUAUAGAUGGAUCCGCGCUGCAUUAGCUAGUUGGGAAGGUAACGGCUUACCAAGGCAACGAUGCAUAGCCGACCUGAGAGGGUGAUCGGCCACACUGGAACUGAGACACGGUCCAGACUCCUACGGGAGGCAGCAGUAGGGAAUCUUCCGCAAUGGGCGAAAGCCUGACGGAGCAACGCCGCGUGAUUGAUGAAGGUCUUCGGAUCGUAAAACUCUGUUAUUAGGGAAGAACAGAUGUGUAAGUAAAUGUGCACAUCUUGACGGUACCUAAUCAGAAAGCCACGGCUAACUACGUG
Molecule: ribosomal RNA, 497 nt
Filed under: uncultured bacterium
Lineage: Bacteria
Description: partial 16S ribosomal RNA
Rfam family: Bacterial small subunit ribosomal RNA
Source: RNAcentral